RNAcentral lists this ribosomal RNA (324 nucleotides) under uncultured eukaryote. RNAcentral's name for it is "partial 18S ribosomal RNA". It matches the Rfam family "Eukaryotic small subunit ribosomal RNA", at positions 1470 to 1796 of the family's 1831-position model. The record is from RNAcentral.
CCCUUAGAUGUUCUGGGCCGCACGCGCGCUACACUGACGGAGUCAACGAGUUGUCCUGCAUCGGAAGGUGUGGGUAAUCUUUUGAAACUUCGUCGUGCUGGGGAUAGAUCUUUGCAAUUUUCGAUCUUGAACGAGGAAUUCCUAGUAAGCGUUAUUCAUCAGAUCGCGUUGAUUACGUCCCUGCCCUUUGUACACACCGCCCGUCGCUACUACCGAUUGAAUGGUUUAGUGAGGCCUCGGGACUGGCGCGCUCGAGUAGCAAUACACCUGCGCGCCGGGAACUUGGUCAAACUUGAUCAUUUAGAGGAAGUAAAAGUCGUAACA